Molecule: long non-coding RNA, 562 nt
Filed under: Sorghum bicolor (sorghum)
Lineage: Eukaryota; Viridiplantae; Streptophyta; Magnoliopsida; Poales; Poaceae
Description: long non-coding RNA (SBIC_LNC012993)
Source: RNAcentral
UGACACCGCCCUAUUUAUACCACAGGCGCUUCGUAACUGGAACCGCAUGUGGUAUAAAAAGUGGGCGCCACCUAUGAGCCUGAUUCUACUAGUGUAGGGUCAAAAGAUUCGUCUCGCGAUUUACAAGCAAACUAUGUUAUUAGUUUUUAUUUUCGUCUACAUUUAACGUUUCAUGCAUGUGCCGUAAGAUUUGAUGUGACGGAGAAUCUUGAAAACUUUUUGAUUUUUAGGGUGAACUACAUAAGGCCGAAGGCCUACCACUCGACCUAUGUGUUGGGUAUUUUAAACGCAAACAGAAAAAAUCCGCAAGCGCACGGAUACCGAUGUAGCCUUCACCCGGGAGUAUUCCAGAGUAUCGAUUUUUCACAGGGAACGUGAGUGUACUAAUUAAGAUCCAAGAUCGCCCAAGGAUAACUAUAUGAAUAUUUUUGGUGGGAAGAGAGGAAGUUUCCUGAGAGUUCUCUAGUUGAUCUAAGAAUCAAGAAUUACUUCAAUAUUAUCUAUUUCGGGACAUCAGAGCACUAACCACAGAAAGAGAUGAGAAGGGGGCUAGGAAGGUCUG